This 319-nucleotide long non-coding RNA is filed under the name Nicotiana benthamiana. RNAcentral's name for it is "long non-coding RNA (NBEN_LNC040877)". The record is from RNAcentral. Lineage: Eukaryota; Viridiplantae; Streptophyta; Magnoliopsida; Solanales; Solanaceae.
UGGUUUUCUUGGCCAUUUUAAAGGAGCUGGUUCUAUAUCAAGCACCUCAUCGUUCUCCUCAAGUAUUGCUUCAUCCACUUCUUGUGGAGGUGGCAAUAUUAUAAUCCCGGCAGUGGACACUAAAAAUCACAUGCACAGCAGAACUCAAAAGCUAUUAGAUCCAAAUAGUGUAUGUCUUACUCAUAAAAUCUCCAUUUAAAAAUCACAUGCAUAGCAGAACUCAAAAGCUAUUAGAUCCAAAUAGUGUAUGUCUUACUCAUAAAAUCUCCAUUAAUAUUCCUAAUAUGGAGAGUCAAUGAAAUUGUCAUACCAGCAUCAG